UUNCAAUGUGAUUUGGGGUGCUGUCUGUG
Molecule: non-coding RNA, 29 nt
Filed under: Mus musculus (house mouse)
Lineage: Eukaryota; Metazoa; Chordata; Mammalia; Rodentia; Muridae
Source: RNAcentral